GGUCGAGCGGAUAGGCCGAGGAUUUGUGGGGCGCUCGAGUGUCUAUGGGCCUUUCCUGACUGAAUGACUGCCCCUGGCUUUGCGAUAACUUCUAGAUACUGGGGCUAUCACCGCAGAAGACCUCCGGCUGCAUGGGGGGGGUUGGAUCCUUUCGUUCCGUGCCGAUGGACUCGCUUUAUUAACCCCUUGUGGGGAGUACAGCCGCUUAGCUAAAACUCAAAUGAUUUGCCGGAUUCACUAGUGACCUCCCACCUUGGGACUGAGAUACGGCCCAAACUCCUACGGGAGGCAGCAGUGGGGAAUAUUGCACAAUGGGCGGAAGCCUGAUGCAGCAACGCCGCGUGCGGGAUGACGGCCUUCGGGUUGUAAACCGCUUUCGCCUGUGACGAAGCGUGAGUGACGGUAAUGGGUAAAGAAGCACCGGCUAACUACGUGCCACCAGCCGCGGUGAUACGUAGGGUGCGAGCGUUGUCCGGAUUUAUUGGGC
This 487-nucleotide ribosomal RNA is filed under the name uncultured Propionibacterium sp. RNAcentral's name for it is "bacterial SSU rRNA". It matches the Rfam family "Bacterial small subunit ribosomal RNA", at positions 60 to 559 of the family's 1533-position model. Lineage: Bacteria; Bacillati; Actinomycetota; Actinomycetes; Propionibacteriales; Propionibacteriaceae. The record is from RNAcentral.